This 352-nucleotide long non-coding RNA is filed under the name Eucalyptus grandis. RNAcentral's name for it is "long non-coding RNA (EGRA_LNC002225)". The record is from RNAcentral. Lineage: Eukaryota; Viridiplantae; Streptophyta; Magnoliopsida; Myrtales; Myrtaceae.
UGGAGUUUGAGAGAGAGAGAGAGAGAGAGAGAGAGAGAGAAACAAGGGUAGAGAGAGAAGGAAGGUGGGCGGGGGGGCGCUCGAUUUGUCAAGGUCUGGGCUUUGUGCGCUAGAAAGCGAGGGGAGAUAGGGAGGGAUGAUGGGUUGGCUGCUUUUGCUUGGAAGACGGAAGCUUUCGGUUUGAAUUUUGAGGACAGAGAGAGAGAGAGAGAGAGAGAGAGAGACGGGAAAUGAACAGGGGAGAAGAGGGCGUCAGCAGAGGAGAGAGAGAGAGAUUCUCAGUGUGUCCGACCAGUCGACAUGGGGAAGGUGCGGCGGUUCCUACUUCCUUCCUCGGUGCUGCUCACGUGCU